Molecule: ribosomal RNA, 370 nt
Filed under: Chaetoceros affinis
Lineage: Eukaryota; Bacillariophyta; Thalassiosirophyceae; Chaetocerotales; Chaetocerotaceae
Description: partial Bacterial small subunit ribosomal RNA
Rfam family: Bacterial small subunit ribosomal RNA
Source: RNAcentral
GGCAGGCCUAACACAUGCAAGUCGAGCGGUAGAGAGAAGCUUGCUUCUCUUGAGAGCGGCGGACGGGUGAGUAAUGCCUAGGAAUCUGCCUGGUAGUGGGGGAUAACGUUCGGAAACGGACGCUAAUACCGCAUACGUCCUACGGGAGAAAGCAGGGGACCUUCGGGCCUUGCGCUAUCAGAUGAGCCUAGGUCGGAUUAGCUAGUUGGUGGGGUAAUGGCUCACCAAGGCGACGAUCCGUAACUGGUCUGAGAGGAUGAUCAGUCACACCGGAACUGAGACACGGUCCGGACUCCUACGGGAGGCAGCAGUGGGGAAUAUUGGACAAUGGGCGAAAGCCUAAUCCAGCAAUACCGCGUGUGUGAAGAAG